Manis javanica (Malayan pangolin) is the source of this 3171-nucleotide long non-coding RNA. RefSeq lists it as uncharacterized. NCBI's taxonomy places the organism in Eukaryota, Metazoa, Chordata, Mammalia, Pholidota, Manidae. The record is from RefSeq and is a predicted model, not a curated record.
GGGGGUCCUCAGGGUGAGCCCGGUGACCCCUGCGCGAGGCCCCUAGCUCCCUGGCUGGCAGAGCUCCAGGUCGGGGCCUGGCGUGAAGGGUCCCGUCCUGUCAGAUGGCCACUGACAGCCUCUGGCGUGGUGGUGAUGGGCAGCCUGCUGUGCUUUCCUGCACAGUGUCCCGCACGGGAGGUGGGGAGGAGAAGCACCAUCCUGAGCACCUACUGUGUGCUGGCACCACAAGGACCUGCUGGCCUUCCAAUCAGAAGCCAUCAAAACCCUCUCUCCACAGAGGGGGAGACAGACCCGUGGCGGCAAGGUGGUUCUGGGAGGAGCUGGGCUGUGGGGGUCGGAUCUGCUGUGCCCCCGGGAGGCGGGCCCUCGGGCCCUCUGGGCUGGGGGCUUCUGGUGGCCCCAUGGCUGCUGUGCAGGGUGGCUGGGGCCUCGCUCAUGGGCUCCAGGACCCCCACCCCACCCUCCUCCUGACAGGCCUUGUGCCUGGGGUGUCUGCUGUCAGCUGGGUGGGAGCCAUGGGGAGCCCGAGGGAACUCAGGACCCCCACGUGCCCUGGCAGAGGCUAGGAUGGGGGGAUUCUGGCUUGCAAGCCAGAGGGUCGGCCUCGACCCCACCAGCCACUGUUACCUGCAGGUGGGACAGGCCAUCUGAGGCCAGGACACGGCCAUGGCUUGGUCACAGCUCCCAGCGGCUGCACCAGGGCUCUGUCUGGGUGGCCACCAGGGGUGGGGACCCCUCCCCUGCUCUGGGCAGCCCAGUUGUUCCCUGAAGGGGCAUGGGACGCCCUCCCCUGGAGCCUGGGGGCAGCCGCUCUGCGGAGGGCCUGAAGGUAGAUCAGGUGUCCCCGCCCCCAGGCCGCCCCCAGGACCUUAGCCAGGUGGGGGUCCUAGCAGGGGCCCCCCCUCCCUUAUGGGGGGAAUCCACCUAGCUAUGGGGCCCCUACAUUUGGCCAGCGCUCCAGGCCAUCGUGAGGUCCCCAUUCUCCCAGACCCAGGGGCCCUGCUCGAGGGAGGGGUCAGUGAGAGCCGGGGGCUGGCCAGUGCCCGCAGCCAAGCCACUCCACCGGGAGAUGGGGAGCCGGCGGCAGGGAGGAGCUGAGCCAGUCGCCAGGGCCCCAGCGGCCCCAGCCCCACCCCCAGCAGGUUGGGGGAGCCCCCCUGUCGCCGGUCCCCGCCAGGGCAGGUGCAGGGAGACCGUCUGCUGGCUCCGCAGCCGUUCGGGGGCGAGGCGCGCCCUCUGGUGGCGAGAGGCGGCGUCGCCGUCUUGUCUUAGACCAUGGGUCGCCCCAAAUCAGGGCGGGGGUGCAGGGUGGCGGUCUCCAAGCCCGAGACAGCCGGGAGGGCCUCCCCGGGCUGAGCGGGAGCGCUCAGCUUUGGGGAGCGAAGUUCAGCACCCUGACUUGCACAGGCGCCGCCAGCACCGGUGGCAGGUGGCUCUGCAAGUCCGCGCACCUCGACGGUCAUUUUUGCUGAAUCUGCGAGUUCUGGAACUGCUGUAACAGAAUCCCUUUGGCCGCAUGUACGUACUUGGGUGAACAGAGUCGCUCAGUGCUGACAUCUGUAAAACCCAGCAAGGAGAAAUAAAUUCAAUACUGAGGGCUGAAUCUUUCAAAAAAUAAGUAACAUUCAUCAGAGGGGGCGGGAGUUAAAAGGAGAACAGCUCAUCCAUUUCAUUGAGAGGCAUUUCCAAUGAAAUGUACUUUCUCCAACAACUUUUAAACAAAAUGGGUAAUGUAAAUUACUUAAAGAUAAAUCUGUGAUUUUGAUUAGCUGUGAGCUAAAAAUUGUAAACAUGACUAAACCCAGCAGAAACAUCUGAAGAUGAUCAAGGGCCUCCUGAAGUAGAGAACAAAAAGUAUAAAAAGUGACAUUGCAGUCUGUGUACAUCUUUUAAUUGCAGGAAAGUAUGAUGACUGAUCAAUGAGAGUCUUCUAAGCACAAAAUAUAUCCCAUUAGGGCAAAAUUCUGUGGGCAGAGUGGCAUGCUGAUGCAGGAAAAGGGGGAAAGAAUUAUGCCCGUUAAAGAGCUGCCCUUUUAGAAUUGAUGACGGGGGUGGGGGUGGGGUGGUUAGAUCACAAUGAUGUUUAGCUUUUGUUGUAUACAUUUAAAAGACUGAUCUAACACUUAUUUUCAAAAUGUCAACAUUAACUGUGCUUACAUGCCACGACAUGGGGGAAUCCCAAACCCAUUGUGCUGAGCAAGACACCUACACAAGAGAACACCUUUGGCAUCAUCCCUCAGAUGUGGAGUUCUGGAACAGGCAGACCCAGCCUGCGGUGGCCGGAAGUCCCAUCAGCGAUCCCCUAUUCUGGGCAUCUCAUAUGAAUGGGAUCUACAGGAGGCAGUCCUCGGACUGGCAUCUUUCACUUAGCAUCUGUGCUAGGGAGUGUGUCCUGCCUUCCACCAGCGAUGGCAGCUGAGGUUUACCAUGCUGUGUGCGUCACCUGCUUCAUCCCGUUUAACCCUCAGGGCAGAGGUGUGCAGGGGGAAGCGUGGCCCUCCUUCCACACAGAAGUGGCAUGUGAUGAGACAUCCAGAGGCCAUUCAUCCUUCGGCUUUUCGUCCCCAUCUCUUGUUUGGCUGACUCCUUAUGGAAUUUUAGUUUCUAGCUGUUGUUAAUACUUCUUAUCUGAAAUUUCUACUAUUUAAGGGAUCCUUUCUUAAUAAUCACAUUAAACUGUGUGACAGCAUUACUGAUAGUUAAGAAUAAUUAUGUUUCCUGAUUUAUUUGGUCAUCAUGAUUUCUUGAUUUUCAUUUUUUCCUUUCUUGAAUUAAAUUUUUUAUUUUGCCACCAUAUAUACUUGAAUGCUUUUGUUUUUCUAGACAAAGUUCACUUUAUUAGUCCUCAUGUAUCUGACAGAACUGUUUCCUCUUCACUUUUGAGUGAUAAUUGUCCUGGGGGUAGUGUUCCAGGAUCCCAGUGUUUUCCUCUGAACGAUAUUUUCCUUUGAAAGAUGGUGCUCCAUCGUCUAUUAGGCCAGUGAGUCGCUGUGACGUGCCUCACUUCACGGGAAAUCUGUUUAUUCACAGUGGCAGCUUUUCUUUUUCGACUCUGGAGUUCAGAGAUUUCACCUGCUUGUGAUGGUUUUGUGUCCUUUUAUUAUUAUUCCUGCCUGGUGUUCAGUGGCCAUUAUGACCAGGCAUUCAGUCAGCCAAGCAGGACCUCAA